This 465-nucleotide ribosomal RNA is filed under the name uncultured bacterium. RNAcentral describes it as "partial 16S ribosomal RNA". It matches the Rfam family "Bacterial small subunit ribosomal RNA", at positions 338 to 795 of the family's 1533-position model. The record is from RNAcentral.
CCUACGGGUGGCAGCAGUGGGGAAUAUUGCGCAAUGGGCGAAAGCCUGACGCAGCGACGCCGCGUGAGGGAUGAAGGUCUUCGGAUCGUAAACCUCUGUCAGCAGGGCAGAACGGUCACGGUGCUAAUCAGCAGGGAAUUGACGGUACCUACAAAGGAAGCACCGGCUAACUCCGGGCCAGCAGCCGCGGUACUACGGAGGGUUCGAGCGUUCAUCGGAAUGACUGGGCGUAAAGCGCGCGAAGGCGGUAUGUCAAGUCAAGGGUGAAAUCCCCUCGCUCAACUUGGGAACUGCCCUUGAAACUGGCAAACUAGAGUGUGUGAGAGGAUAGUGGAAUUCCAGGUGUAGGAGUGAACUCCGUAGAUAUCUGGAGGAACAUCAGUGGCGAAGGCGCCUAUCUGGCACAUAACUGACGCUGAGGAGCGAAAGCGUGGGUAGCAAACAGGAUUAGAUACCCGGGUAGUC